GCGCGAAUCUUCGGCAAUGGGCGCAAGCCUGACCGAGCGACGCCGCGUGGAGGACGAAGGCCUUCGGGUUGUAAACUCCUGUCGAGGGGGAGGAAGGCGCAAGCUUGACCGAUCCCUGGAGGAAGCACGGGCUAAGUUCGUGCCAGCAGCCGCGGUAAGACGAACCGUGCGAACGUCAUUCGGAAUCACUGGGCUUAAAGCGCGUGUAGGCGGGCCGGCACGUCGGCCGCUGAAAUCCCCCGGCUCAACCGGGGAAGCGGCGCCGAUACGACCGGCCUGGAGGGGAGUAGGGGGGCCUGGAACUUCCGGUGGAGCGGUGAAAUGCGUUGAGAUCGGAAGGAACGCCCGUGGCGAAAGCGAGGCCCUGGACUCCUGCUGACGCUGAGACGCGAAAGCCAGGGGAGCGAACG
This 410-nucleotide ribosomal RNA is filed under the name uncultured Singulisphaera sp. Its description in RNAcentral is "bacterial SSU rRNA". It matches the Rfam family "Bacterial small subunit ribosomal RNA", at positions 355 to 774 of the family's 1533-position model. The record is from RNAcentral. Lineage: Bacteria; Pseudomonadati; Planctomycetota; Planctomycetia; Isosphaerales; Isosphaeraceae.